ACAGAAAGGAUGAAAUCAUUACGGAUGUAAAUGAGCACUAGCUCACGCGUCCGAGAGCGCAUAACUCGUGUGGAUGCUUCCGUUGCCUUCCUUCUGACUACUUUC
Molecule: small nucleolar RNA, 105 nt
Filed under: Pisolithus tinctorius Marx 270
Lineage: Eukaryota; Fungi; Basidiomycota; Agaricomycetes; Boletales; Pisolithaceae
Description: Small nucleolar RNA Z13/snr52
Rfam family: Small nucleolar RNA Z13/snr52
About the family: Z13 or snr52 is a member of the C/D class of snoRNA which contain the C (UGAUGA) and D (CUGA) box motifs.
Source: Rfam by way of RNAcentral